UACGAAGGGUGCAAACGUUGCUCGGAAUUAUUGGGCGUAAAGCGCACGUAGGCGGCAUUGCAAGUCGGAUGUGAAAUCCCUCGGCUUAACCAAGGAAGUGCAUCCGAAACUGCAGUGCUUGAGUACGAAAGAGGAUCGCGGAAUUCCCGGUGUAGAGGUGAAAUUCGUAGAUAUCGGGAGGAACACCAGUGGCGAAGGCGGCGAUCUGGGUCGAUACUGACGCUGAGGUGCGAAAGCGUGGGGAGCAAACA
This 251-nucleotide ribosomal RNA is filed under the name uncultured prokaryote. Its description in RNAcentral is "partial 16S ribosomal RNA". It matches the Rfam family "Bacterial small subunit ribosomal RNA", at positions 524 to 774 of the family's 1533-position model. The record is from RNAcentral.